Molecule: unclassified non-coding RNA, 496 nt
Filed under: Hevea brasiliensis (rubber tree)
Lineage: Eukaryota; Viridiplantae; Streptophyta; Magnoliopsida; Malpighiales; Euphorbiaceae
Source: RNAcentral
GUCGUUUCACAAAUUGGGUUUUAGUGAAUGCGAGAUCUUGGCUUCUCUUGAUGAGGAUAAUGUAAUAGGAACUGGAUCUUCAGGGAAAGUGUACAGGGUUAUGCUUAGCGGUGGUGAAGCAGUUGCGGUCAAGAAGCUCUGGGGAGGUGCCAAAAAGGAGAGUGAUGAAAGCGACGUUGAGAAGGGUCAGUUCCAGGACGAUGGGUUUGAAGCAGAGGUUGAGACUUUGGGUAAGAUUAGGCACAAGAACAUUGUUAAGCUAUGGUGUUGCUGCACCGCUAGAGACUGCAAACUUUUGGUAUACGAGUACAUGCCUAAUGGUAGCUUGGGUGAUUUGUUACAUAGUAGCAAGGGAGCGUUGCUAGAUUGGCCAACAAGGUAUAAGAUCCUUUUAGAUGCAGCUGAGGGGCUUUCCUAUUUGCAUCACGAUUGUGUACCUCCAAUUGUGCAUAGAGAUGUUAAGUCCAACAAUAUUUUGUUGGAUGGGGAUUUCGGA